RNAcentral lists this unclassified non-coding RNA (313 nucleotides) under plant metagenome. RNAcentral's name for it is "partial contains 5.8S ribosomal RNA, internal transcribed spacer 2, and large subunit ribosomal RNA". The stretch from base 1 to 105 matches the Rfam family "5.8S ribosomal RNA", at positions 50 to 154 of the family's 154-position model. The record is from RNAcentral.
GAAAUGCGAUAAGUAAUGUGAAUUGCAGAAUUCCAUGAAUCAUCGAAUCUUUGAACGCACAUUGCGCCCUCUGGCAUUCCGGGGGGCAUGCCUGUCCGAGCGUCAUUACGCACCCUCAAGCCCGGCUUGUGUGAUGGGCCCCGGCGUCUCGUUCGCGAGACGGGCCCGAAAGGCAGCGGCGGCGUCGACCCGAUGAGCCCGAGCGUAUGGGGACUUCUGUCACACGUUCGCGGUGCGGACCGGCGCCUGCUUUGACUUUUCUGAUUAUCCAGGUUGACCUCGGAUCAGGUAGGGAUACCCGCUGAACUUAAGC